RNAcentral lists this ribosomal RNA (253 nucleotides) under uncultured bacterium. RNAcentral describes it as "partial 16S ribosomal RNA". It matches the Rfam family "Bacterial small subunit ribosomal RNA", at positions 524 to 776 of the family's 1533-position model. The record is from RNAcentral.
UACGUAGGGAGCAAGCGUUGUCCGGAAUCAUUGGGCGUAAAGAGCGCGUAGGUGGCUUUAUAAGUCCGUUGUGAAAGUCAAAGGCUCAACCUUUGAAAGCCGAUGGAUACUGUGGAGCUAGAGUACGGAAGAGGCGAGUGGAAUUCCUGGUGUAGCGGUGGAAUGCGCAGAUAUCAGGAGGAACACCAAUAGCGAAGGCAGCUCGCUGGGACGUUACUGACACUGAGGCGCGAAAGCGUGGGGAGCGAACAGG